CACACGUAAUAUGCACAUAGAUUGUUCCCCCCUUCUUGUCUUAAACACCACUAUACAAUAUAUAUAUAUAUAUAAAAUAUUCACGACCACGACAAUAAUAAGGCUAAAAGUUAGCGAAAGUUUGCUAACUAGUAGAACUUACUUGUGGAUGUAUUAUGUUAAGCGGCGCUUUACAUCCACUGAGAUGUUCACGGUCAAUGAAUCUUUCCCAAACCCUACACACAGCCAUUGUGGAUCGUGAACUAAUAAUUACAGAGUCAUAUUAUAAUAUUCUUCUAGCUGAGAUCGACAUUACGUACCUUUGAAUAAUGUUUACCAUUUGUUGAUAAUUUUCUUGUGGUUUUCUCAUGGAGUCAAAGAUUAUCAACCGGUUCUUAGGAAUUUCAAUGACCAUGAGUAUCCAGUGAAAGCUGUUUACACAUAUAUAUAUAUAGUCAGUCCUAUAAUGUAAAAUAAAAUAUGCAUGUACUUAAUAACUAUAUAACUCACUCAAAGUUAAAGGGGAAGAGUAUUUUUUGUUUUUCUUUUUGGUUCACAAAGAACCUCAUAAGAUUGGUGCAGAUUUCUGUCUCAUGAGCUGCUGUCCACACUGCCUGUGGAGCCUUGAAAACAAUAUAAGGGUCAACGAACCCAAUACUAUUGUCAUUUCUCAUUCUGAGCUCUCUCAUUUGGUGCCUGCAUAUAUACAUACAAAUCCUAAGUGUGUAAGGAUUAUAUACAUGUAAUUAAAGAAGUUAGAAGUAUAAUAAAAAGAAAAAAAUACUUACAGUCAAAAGCAGCUGACAAGAGAUUUGCCG
RNAcentral lists this long non-coding RNA (797 nucleotides) under Sorghum bicolor (sorghum). RNAcentral's name for it is "long non-coding RNA (SBIC_LNC010852)". The record is from RNAcentral. Lineage: Eukaryota; Viridiplantae; Streptophyta; Magnoliopsida; Poales; Poaceae.